Molecule: ribosomal RNA, 492 nt
Filed under: Photinus sp. CO1208
Lineage: Eukaryota; Metazoa; Arthropoda; Insecta; Coleoptera; Lampyridae
Description: partial 16S ribosomal RNA
Rfam family: Bacterial large subunit ribosomal RNA
Source: RNAcentral
GUCCUUUUGAAAAUGAUUUAAGGUCUAAUCUGCUCAAUGAAUAAUUAAAUAGCCGCAGUAUUCUAACUGUGCGAAGGUAGCGUGAUAAUUAGUUUCUUAAUUAGAAACUUGUAUGAAUGAUUUGACAAGAAAAUUUCUGUCUCUUUCUAAUUAUUUAUAAAUUUAACUUUUAAGUUAAAAGGCUUAAAUGUUUAUAAAAGACGAGAAGACCCCAUAGAGUUUAAUUUUUUAUUUUAUUUAAGAAUAAUUAAAAUAUUUAAAAAAAUUAGUUGGGGUAACUUAAAGAUAAAAUAAAUUCUUUAAAUUUUGAAUCAUUGAUUUAUGAAUUAAAAAUCUAAAUUAUUAAAUUUAAAUAAAGUUACCUUGGGGAUAACAGCGUAAUUUCUUUUUAGAGUUCUUAUCAAAUAGGAAGAUUGCGACCUCGAUGUUGGAUUAAAAUUUAUUUUAGGUGUAGAAGCUUGAAUAUUAAGUCUGUUCGACUUUUAAAAUUUA